AAACAGAGCAAAAGGAUUGCUCUCACCAGAAAUGAAACCAUAGUCUGCAUUUAUAUAAAUAAUGUGGGCCUGCGUACAUCAGAGACUGGAGGAAAAAAAAUAAAACAAGUAAGGAUAGAGCAAGGGAGGGAGAAACAAUGAAAGAGGGGGGCAGGGGAUGUGACUCAGUGGUGGAGAACUUGCCUAGCAUGCACAAGGCUGGGGUUGGAUCCCUAGCUCUGGAGGGUCAUGGGAAGGAUACAAUAUAAUCAAAGUUUAUUGUUAGGGGAACAUCCAGAGUUUGAUUCGCACUCAAGAUGGAGGACUGUCUCCUGAGACCAGAUCGUCCUUACACGUCUACCUUUCCAAGGCAGGGAAAGAAGAUGCAUCCUCGUCCGGCUCCUGCGCCUUCCUAGUACCUCUGGCCAGCAUCCUAUGGGCCCGCGCUCCCUGGACAUCCAUGAAUGUUUGAUGCUACAUCUCUACCCCAGCCGAAGCUUCCCGCCUGCACUCUGUCAACGGCACUUGCGGGGCGGGG
This 517-nucleotide long non-coding RNA is filed under the name Cricetulus griseus (Chinese hamster). RNAcentral's name for it is "lncRNA (ENSCGRG00015038325.1)". Lineage: Eukaryota; Metazoa; Chordata; Mammalia; Rodentia; Cricetidae. The record is from RNAcentral.